CAACUUCUAACGGUGGAUCUCUCGGCUUGUGCAUCGAUGAAGAACGCAGCAAAAUGCGAUACCUAGUGCGAAUUGCAGAAUUCAGUGAAUCAUCGAGUCUUUGAACGCAAAUGGCGUUCUCGGGGUCUUCCCGAAGAGCACGUCUUGCCUGGAGCGCCUGC
Molecule: ribosomal RNA, 161 nt
Filed under: Verongula gigantea
Lineage: Eukaryota; Metazoa; Porifera; Demospongiae; Verongiida; Aplysinidae
Description: 5.8S ribosomal RNA
Rfam family: 5.8S ribosomal RNA
About the family: 5.8S ribosomal RNA (5.8S rRNA) is a component of the large subunit of the eukaryotic ribosome. It is transcribed by RNA polymerase I as part of the 45S precursor that also contains 18S and 28S rRNA.
Source: RNAcentral